UACGAAGGGGGCUAGCGUUGCUCGGAAUGACUGGGCGUAAAGGGCGCGUAGGCGGUUCGUACAGUCAGACGUGAAAUUCCCGGGCUCAACCUGGGGGCUGCGUUUGAUACGUGCGGGCUUGAGUUCGGAAGAGGGUCGUGGAAUUCCCAGUGUAGAGGUGAAAUUCGUAGAUAUCGGAAGGAACACCAGUGGCGAAAGCGGCUUCCUGGUCCAGCACCGACGUCAGGCACGAAAGCGUGGGGAGCAAACAGG
RNAcentral lists this ribosomal RNA (252 nucleotides) under uncultured bacterium. Its description in RNAcentral is "partial 16S ribosomal RNA". It matches the Rfam family "Bacterial small subunit ribosomal RNA", at positions 524 to 776 of the family's 1533-position model. The record is from RNAcentral.